GAUGAACGCUGGCGGCGUGCCUAAUACAUGCAAGUCGAGCGAACAGACGAGGAGCUUGCUCCUCUGACGUUAGCGGCGGACGGGUGAGUAACACGUGGAUAACCUACCUAUAAGACUGGGAUAACUUCGGGAAACCGGAGCUAAUACCGGAUAACAUGUUGAACCGCAUGGUUCAACAGUGAAAGACGGUCUUGCUGUCACUUAUAGAUGGAUCCGCGCCGCAUUAGCUAGUUGGUAAGGUAACGGCUUACCAAGGCAACGAUGCGUAGCCGACCUGAGAGGGUGAUCGGCCACACUGGAACGGAGACACGGUCCAGACUCCUACGGGAGGCAGCAGUAGGGAAUCUUCCGCAAAGGGCGAAAGCCUGACGGAGCAACGCCGCGUGAGUGAAGAAGGUCUUCGGAUCGUAAAACUCUGUUAUUAGGGAAGAACAAAUGUGUAAGUAACUAUGCACGUCUUGACGGUACCUAAUCAGAAAGCCACGGCUAACUACGUG
Molecule: ribosomal RNA, 497 nt
Filed under: uncultured bacterium
Lineage: Bacteria
Description: partial 16S ribosomal RNA
Rfam family: Bacterial small subunit ribosomal RNA
Source: RNAcentral